AAAGUUGAGAGAUAAAAAUAAAUCUCUUAAUACAAUAUUUUAUAAUAAAAAUGUUAAAAAAAUUUAAUGUAGGACCCACUAACAAUGAAGACAUGACCUGUUAAUAUUAAGAGUAUUGAGGGAGAGAAUUGCUAACGGUGAGAGAUAUAAUAAACUCUUAUUUGUAUUCAUGGGUGUGUCUAUUGACCCUUUAGAUAAAGUUGAUUGUAAAAAUAAUCUUUAACCCUUCAAUAAGCUACGGAUUUAGGAGAAAAGUUUUUCAUAUGAUAUAUUCACUUCGCUUUUGACAACCUGAUUAUGUAUGCUUAAGACUUUUCGAAUUAUAAUCGUACACGUGCUCUUACACAUUUGAAGGCAAUUCAUUGAUUAAUUUAGCUUCUACCUAUCUGUUUAUCUGUAUGCGGUGUGUGUGCUAAAUUACUUAAUUUAAAGAUGAGAAUGAUGAGAUAAUUAAAUAUAUAAGUGUACAAGGAAAGACAAGCUUCAUAAUGAUCAUAUGCCCAAAAAAAAAAGUUAGUGUGAUGUAUAUUAAAAAAAUGAUACAAAAUUCUCUAAGGUAGUUCAAAAAUUUACAAUAAAGGUCAUUAGAGGUGGAACAAACAAUUGAGUUCAGUGAAGAGAAUAGAGAAUAUUGAAAGAGAUAUUUUGAUUAACAAUUUGUCCAAAAUUUGGUUAUUGAUUGAAUACAAUGGUUCUGAAAUAAGGCUGGUUAUUAUUAUUGGGUGUGUGUUAGAAGUAGAAAUUAAGUAUUUAUAUAUAUAUAUAUAUAUAUUAGAAUUAUUUGAGAGUCUUCUAGUCUAUUAUCAGCGAUGUGUGAUAUGUGUGCUUGAUUCAUGUACCUAAAAUUAUGAGGUUCAUAUAUUAGUGUGAGAUUCAUGCAUGUAUGGUUUUGGGGAACCCAAUGCCCCACCCCUUAAAUACAGCUCAGCCUCCCACCUUUUUUUCCCCCUUUUAAUCAUUAGAUAUUCUACCGCAAGUGAAAAAUAUUUUGAUAUUUUAUGGUCAUGAAAAACGGUGUAGUUUUACUUCUUUUUUUUUUAACAAUUUUCCUAAGUAAAUAAAUCAAAACUUCACAAUUUUCAUUGCGAUGAGAUAUCAAAAUGAUUCUCAUUUCAUAUAGAAUGUGAUGGUCAAAAGAAAAAAAUAAAUGAAAGGUUGGUAUAUUAUAAAGAACAUUAAAGAGUGCGACAUGAAAGACCCGAGCCCUUGUUUUUUAUCCAAAAAUUUUCCAAAAGCUUCACGAUAUGAUUCUUCUUCAAGAUAUUUUUUUUCCCAAAAUUUGAGUUCUCUCCUCUCUUUUUUGCCCCUUGCAAUGGGGCUGAUUUUGGGAAAAAUUUCAAUGAGGGACCAUUGACCAAACAUAAUGAAAAAGGGGACCCUUAAAUUUUUGAAAUUUCAUUGAAGGACCCUUAAGUAUUUUCGUUUGAAUUUGUGAUAGAAAUGAUAAAAUUUUCCUCAUUUAAAUGAAUAACAUAAAUGAUUUAUUUGUUUUUCAUACUAUAUAUUUUUCAUUUACUUAUAAAAUAUUGUUCAUUUUCUUACUUUAUUUGUUUAUAGUUAUACUUUCACUUGAUUUCAAUCUAAGGCCGUAAACAAGUGAAGUAAGUAAACAAACUAACAUCCAUAAGUAAAUAAACAACAAAAAGUAUGAAAAUAAAUAAGUCGUUUUAUUAUAAACCAACACUUAAAAUGAAAUAAAGUAAAUUUAAGGCUAUAAAUAAGUAAAGUAAGGAAAUAAAUAACAUUCCCUAAGUAAAUGAAUAACAUACAAUAUGAGAACGAACAAGUCAUUUAUGUUAUUCAUUUAAAUAAGGGUAAUUUUAUCAUUUCUAUCACAAAUUCAAAUAAAAAUCCGCACGGAUCUUUCAGUGGAAUUUUACAAAUUUAGAGGUCCUCUUUUUCAUUAUGUUUGGUCAAGGGUCCCUCACUAAAAAUUUUCCUUAAUUUUAUGCAUGUUCUUGCUUGUGGGGAGUUCCGGAGAGGAUUAGAGAAUGUCAUUGCUGAUAGGAAAUUUCUCAGUUCUCACUAACCUUGCUUGGAUUUUCAAAGUGCAAUAUCAACCUUUUGGAAGUUGGCAAGCAAAGGAGAAGUAUCCAUGAAUACUAUAUGUCUGCAUAUUAGGACCUGAGGAAAUCAGCGUUAAUAAGUUUCUUUUUGAGACACAAUCAUCAAAGUUUGCCGAAGGAACACCAUAAUCCCCGCAGAAAGAUUGAACUCACCAAGGUGAGCUAAACGAAGACAUAGCAGAGAGAAGAGAGAUGAGUUAGCUAUGACUUUCCGAAAGACCAGCCUUUGCAAGGCUGAUGAUUAAACCAAAUAUCCAAUUUGUCAGCCAUGUGUCAGAAAGAAUAUGCGGUUUUGAGGAUGUCAUUGGUCACUUCAGGAGUAUAUAAUUUUUGAACAAGUAGCUUAUUCUAGCUGUAUGGAUUCGAGGAAGAAGUAUUUUUAAUUAUUAAAUCAAAAUCUGUAGUGAUAUGCAAUCAAUGUACUUUUGUGUUGCCGAGUGAAGGCCACCGUUGCUCAUGAUCAAUUGGAAUAUCACAAGAGUCGUAGGUUUUCCUUGUUA
Prosopis cineraria is the source of this 2566-nucleotide RNA transcript. RefSeq lists it as uncharacterized. The transcript is spliced from 2 exons. The record is from RefSeq and is a predicted model, not a curated record. NCBI's taxonomy places the organism in Eukaryota, Viridiplantae, Streptophyta, Magnoliopsida, Fabales, Fabaceae.